RNAcentral lists this long non-coding RNA (2137 nucleotides) under Chloebia gouldiae (Gouldian finch). Its description in RNAcentral is "Erythrura gouldiae (Gouldian finch) lncRNA (ENSEGOG00005011886.1)". The record is from RNAcentral. Lineage: Eukaryota; Metazoa; Chordata; Aves; Passeriformes; Passeridae.
UCUGCUCUGUGGGGCUCUGUUUGUUUUCCUGGUGCUAAUUAGAGCCUCUAAAUGCAGCCUGGGCUCCUCCUACCCACUGGCUUGUUUGUCUUCAAAUGAGACACGUGUGGUGCUCGUCUCUGGGGUCACAGAGCUCUGCAGACCAGCAGAGCACUGAGCUUUGACUGUUGGGAGGCACGAGGCUCCCCUGGCUGCUGUGAGCACAAGGGAUGGUGCCAGCCCUUGGCACACACAGUGUGGAGUUGGCAGGAGAUGGAUCCUUCCCCGCCUCAGGGGCUGGAGAUGGGAGCUGUCUCCUCUCCCUGCUGUCUCCCGUCCAGAUAACUUGCCCGGGAGCUGCUGGCAGGGACACUGGAGGGGCUGGAGGAGGAGCUGCUGGCCUUCUUCUCUGUCACCCCGCACUCCGUCUACACAGCACUGAUGGAUAACAGCUUUGAGCGGCUCCUGCUCCACGCACUCUGCCAGUACAUGGAUCUCGUCUCUGCCAGUAAGAGCCGCGUGUCUGCUUGGUUGAUUUUGAUUUUGUUUUUGUUUUUCCCCCUUCCCUCCAUCACUAUCUCUCCUCUCCAGCUCAGCCUUUUCCUCCCUUCCUCCUGCCGGCCCCACCUCACCCUGGGGCUCACAGAUAACCCCGCGGUCCCACCCCUGCCUGCUCCCUCCCCACCAGUGCCUGGAGCACCCUGGGCAGCCCCGGCCGUGGUCACCAGCGCUGCCUGCAGCCACACACCCGGGGGUCGGCGGGACCCACUCUGACGGGAAAUUCGGGUGGUGCAAAGCAGGAAUCUGCUCGCGGGGUUCUCUCUCCUGCAGCUGCUUCCUCCUCCCAAGGAGCAGCCGCGCUCUCGUACUGCUCUGGGCGUCCCCAAAGGUUUUGUUGCCAAGGCAGGGAAGCAUCCAUCCCUCCAGAGGAGGCUCCGCUGCCGAGUGUUUCAUUAGGAGCCGCUUGUGGCCAUCAGCCUGAGCGCUAAUGAUGGGGAGCGAGCCCGUGGUGCCGGCAGGGGACGGAGGGGACAGAAAACAGCGGACAGAAAACUCGCCACGAGCCCCAGGGAGGAGGGAAGGGCUGUGGCUGGGCUGGGAGCGCCUGUUGGAGACCCCCGAGGUGGGGAGCAGGGGUGUGCUGAUGGUUCCAUCCCACCCGCAGGUUCGGACAUCGAAGGGAAGCGUCAGAUGAAAGUGAGCAACAAACACCGCGUGUUCCUGCCCCCGGAGCUGCUGCUCUCAGACUACCUGGGGCAGAUGAGCUGAUGCCCCCGCAGCUGCCCUGCCCCUCCUGUGUCCUCUGCAGCCUCUCCCGGACCCUCGGCCCCUCCAGCAGCCGCUGCCCGGCGGGGCAGAGCCGGGGGUUUGUGGCUGUGCUCGCACCGGGGCGGGCAGCACGGCCCCGGGGUGCAGGGCAGGUGCCCCUCGCCCGCCCCGCUCCCCGCGCAUCCCUCCUGGAACUGUUGGUGUGUCUAUUUAUAACCCAGGUGUUUUUAACAAAAUAAUCAGGCAGGGCCAGCCUCCCUCUGGCGCUGACGCUCGUGGGGUGAUUUCGGUCCAGAUUUUUCUGCGGUGAAACAGCUCCCGGCGGCUGCUGAGCAAUCGCUGAGCCGGCGGAAGAGCCCCGGGGCUGCCGCGUUCCCGCAGCCCCGAACCCACCGGGUGUCCGGGGGGCUCGGCCCCCUCGGCCAGGGCGGGGUGUGGGGAGCUCCGGAUGCUUUUACCCCACGCCCUGUGCCCUGCCCGCACCACGGGGCUGUUUUUAAGUGUAAUAUAGCUUGUGUGUUUUUUAUCACGUGUGUGUAUAUUUACAUGUGUGUAUGUGUGUGUGUGUGUGCGUGCUGGAGGGGUGCAGCCCCUUUCGGGGCUCUCUCUGCUUUUCCACAGCUGCCAUGGGGGCAGAUGGGGCAUUUUGGGGGUUGCUCUGUGUGCCCCCCAGCUUCGUGGCAUGUGCCAAGGUUUGCUCGCAGGGCGUGCCCUGAGGAUCUUUGCUGGCUGGUCUGCCCCACCAUGACACCGACUGCCAUUAACCGUGGGCACCCCCAGAGCCAGGGGAGCCCCUCGUGGGCACCCCCAGAGCCAGGGGAGCUCCUCCUUGGCUGGUGUGGCGUUCAGAAACAAUAAAAACGGUGCUCCCUUACUCCGGCUCUGUGUC